Molecule: ribosomal RNA, 972 nt
Filed under: Triticum aestivum (bread wheat)
Lineage: Eukaryota; Viridiplantae; Streptophyta; Magnoliopsida; Poales; Poaceae
Description: partial small subunit ribosomal RNA
Source: RNAcentral
AUGAGUUCGCCUACAUCGACAUCUUCAACAACAAGGCGACCACCUACGAGCGAGGGCGACACUUCCAUCUUUGGAAGCCCCUCAAGGAAGAUGGCCGAGCAUGGGAAUUUCCCUUCGGUCAUGGAGACGAGCUACCAGGUGCCACAUUAUAUGGGCCUCCUACAACAAGACCGCGACAAGACGGUCGAGCAAGGGCCAUCCCCUUUGACCAUGGCGGCGAGUACAUAUGUCUUCCACAAAAUGAAGACGUCGCCCCAAUAUGUCUCCUACUCCGAGUCAAGCUAUGAGACCGCACAUGAGACCUUCUCUUUGUUCUCGGAGGAGAGUGAUGUUUUGUCACAUCCUACGGCAUUCACCUUUGCAGUCAUUGUGGAUGAGGAGGUUGAGCAUGGGACUAUCCCUUCAACCAAGGCGGCGAUAGGAGUUGAGCAUGGAGACAUUUGCACCAACAUCUCUCUGACACCCACAUGUGAUGAGAUGCCCCAAUUCCCAUGUGAGGAGAGCGACUCCACCAUGAGUGAUAUGAGUGACUCCACCAUAUGUGACAUUGAGUGCAUUUCCUAUGAGAGGAUAAGUGUAACCACCACUAGCCCCUCAUAUGAGAGCAUGCCACACAUCCUAUGUGAGGUUGAGAGCCAUUUGAGUGACUCCACCAACCAUAUGAGUGAGAGCAUCUUACCGGGAGUGAGUGAGACACAUCACUUAGUGAGUGAGGUAGUUGACACGGCAUGUGAGGCCACUAUGAUUUCUAAUGACUUAACCUCUACUCCUAGUGUGUUUUCUUCUUUGGUGCUAGGUCUCCUAUAUGACGACAUGCAUGUCCUCGAUGAGUCCAUGCCUCCAAUGGAGAUGAUGAUGGCCAUGGUGGACGAUCAUGCACCCCCACAUGGUUCCAUCAAGAUGAAGAUGACCACGACUUGGUCUUUGACACCUCACCUACAACACAUGAGAGAUUAUCCAAAGGUAACAUAG